UACGUAGGUGACCAGCGUUGUCCGGAUUUACUGGGCGUAAAGAGCGCGCAGGCGGUCGUUCAAGUCGGGUGUGAAAGCCCUGGGCUCAACCUAGGAAGUGCACUCGAAACUGCUUCGCUUGAGUGCCGGAGAGGAAAGCGGAAUUCUCGGUGUAGAGGUGAAAUUCGUAGAUAUCGAGAGGAACAUCGGUGGCGAAGGCGGCUUUCUGGACGGUAACUGACGCUGAGACGCGAAAGCGUGGGGAGCAAACAGG
This 253-nucleotide ribosomal RNA is filed under the name uncultured bacterium. RNAcentral's name for it is "partial 16S ribosomal RNA". It matches the Rfam family "Bacterial small subunit ribosomal RNA", at positions 524 to 776 of the family's 1533-position model. The record is from RNAcentral.